UUUCAUCGUCCGGGUCGUAUCCCACCAGCACGAUUGCAUAUUCAUCGUAUGUCGUCUGUUUGGCAUCCUCAUUCAAAUUUAUAUCUAUAUAAAGGUCGCUCUCUUUUUUCCCUUCCAUUCAUUAAAAGUGGGGUAAGCCGUGAGUCUCACCACCAUUGGUCCGUGACUCAACCGUUUGAUAAGCUCUUCCUGAUUCACAGUUCUAAACUCUACCAAUUUGGUUAGGCUUAGCUGUUGAAAAAUAAAACCAUCUAACAG
This 258-nucleotide long non-coding RNA is filed under the name Linum usitatissimum (flax). RNAcentral describes it as "long non-coding RNA (LUSI_LNC000626)". The record is from RNAcentral. Lineage: Eukaryota; Viridiplantae; Streptophyta; Magnoliopsida; Malpighiales; Linaceae.